UGACACUUCAGUCCCAGUUUCAUGGCAUCCAGCUUUCAAAGCCAUGAAUUCGACAGCUUUAAAUUUACUAUUAAAUUAGCUUUAAUACUUUAAAGUUGUUGACCCGCUUAACUGAUUUUCCAGCUUUCCUCUGUGACUUUCUGAAAGCCAGCUUAACUGGCUUUAACAUACCUUUAAACAGAAGAUUAAUGAAUCUCAUGAUUAAAUUCAACUUGGAACCACUCAGUGACAAAAUCAAACAGGAAAUCUGAGAGAAUUUUAAGUAUGUGUAAAGUUGGCAUCCACCAUUAUAAUCAUGAGUCAAAAAAUCAGGGUGGAGUUACAAGUGUCUAAAAAUUUUAUGACAGACUUCAAAUUAUUUGAAACUGUUUGUGGCUUUACAGAGAUACUGUAUUUCCUGAUGAACUUGGGGUGCUUUUAUUCUAGUUGAAGGAGGAUUGAGCAAUCAAUUUGAAAACUUCAAGCAAGAUUAGAGUUAAAAAACAGAGCCCAGGAAGGAACCAGCAUUUUCUGCGAACUGAAAUACUGAGUUUUAGAUAGCAGUAGUAGAGAAGCGAAAAACCACCGGCAGACUGGACGCUGCUCAGGCUGCUUUUCACGUGUGUACCCAGAGCACGCAGCCUCUGCUAGCCAGUGUUUGGUCCUGCGUGCUCAGCCUCAGCAAAAUUAAGCACCAAAACUCUGCUGGGCUCUCUAGUGGAACAGUGCUCCAUCUCUCUUCUGGAAAAUCCAGCCCUCAAGGUAAUACAAGAAAAUAUUCUUCAAGCUGGUGACAAGCACCAAAACCUGGAUGCAUGUGAGGAGCCAAUUCACUUUUAUUUAUGCCUCCACAGAGACUGCCGCCAUUUUAGGGCCUUGAAGCAGACAGUGCCCUCAGAAAAUGGCAGGAAGCUCUGGCCCCAGGGGAUUUCGCCUGGCAGUAUACCAAAACAUUGUCCAGGAUAAAAGUAUAACAACAAAUCAGCUUCCACUCAUGUAAGAUGACAGGUAUCUCUCUGCCAAGAAGAAUCUUGCUUUAUGACUUGUGAAUUGAAAUUUGUAUCCUCUCUAAGCACUCUUCCUAUCCAAAGUUUGGAGCAGAGAGUGGAACACAGCAGCAUGUUGUGGGAUCCUGGUUCUCAGCCUUCUCAAAGGGAAGCAGAAGGAAGUUUAAUGAGUUAAAACUGUACUUUUGCUCCAAGACUCCCAUUCAUUGAGUUGGUAUGAAACCCAAGUACCCCUUUGUGCUACAACUGUACCUUCAAUGACUGACAAGAUUAAGCUCUCCCUUUCUGUUGCCCUUUUGGCCUGCAACUACUGACAACAGCAUGAAAAAUUGGCUGAAGUGCUUGAUGAAGCAGUCAGGCUGGGACUGUGUAUCCAUCUGUUACAUGAGGCUCUUUGCCUAAAGUAUCUAUCACCUCUGUCCAGCUUCUGGAAACUUCUGGGAUGGGAGAGCAAACCAGUCAAGAUCAUGAUGUAUUAAAUGAAGCAUGUAUAAAACCUGGAUGCAGAGACCUCCAUUCAUGUCCAAUACCUUUCCUGGGAACGGCAGCAGGGGCACUUUAAUAGAAGGAGCUGCAAUCAGGUUUCAGGAUUCAGCAGUUGACUUCUUGCCCAUUUGUCUUUUGCAACAUCCAAGUUUCUCGUGGUCAGCUGAGCCCCAUGGACAACAACUCUGCCGGCAUGUACCUGGCAAUUGUGGGGAGUCACAGAGUCAGUGAAAGGAUGUUUUCUGUCUGUUUUAUACAGGGAAGUGAGGACAUUGUCAGGAUGUUUUCUGUGUGUGUUAUACAGGAAAGUGAGGACACAUUUCCUUUCUUGGUCAGCAUGGAGGCUCUCCUCAUGGUUUGAAAGCCCUAAAUAAAUGCAGAGGAACUCACAUGGAUUAAAUUUAAAUCCAAGAUUUGUUUCAGCAGAUGUCCUUCCCAGGGUAUUCACAGGCUAUUAGGGGAUCAGUACACUGCAGGCAGAUCUCCUGCCCUGUGACUCCUAAGUGUUGAGGGAUCACUCUGCCUAUUGACUUGUGGCCAGAUCUUCCCCACAUCUUCUGUCCCAGCUGCUGCUCCACCUUGUGCCAGGGAACUGAUAGUUAAGAAGAAGGUUUGAAACAAAACGUAGCAUCUCAUGAAGUUGCCCAUGUUCUGUUGCAGGGCUCUGUGGUGAGAUAGCUUGCUUACUGCAUGUGCCAGGAGAAGCAGCCACAAUUCCUGACAUCUUGCAUUGGGAGCAGUAAGAGGCCAGCUCGCCAGAGCUGGAAUGGGAGGAAGCACAUUGCCACAGUGUGGCUUUUUCCCUGCUGGGAAGGAAAUUUCAACCAUUUUUUAUGAAGUCUUCUGUCCCCAGAAAUAUGUGAGGCUGGUCUGUCAGAGUGUGACAAAAGGAUCAGUGUCUAAACCUUUAUGUUGUUGCCCCAUGGCUCCAGCAGUGACUUUCCAGCACCAACCACUCUAAUCACAACGGAAACCAGUACUGGUAAAUCCAACAUAAAUUCACUAAAGAAUUGCUUGUAUUUUGUCCAGAUGACAGAACUUAGCCAGUUCCACAGCCGGCCCACCUCUGAAACUCAGUGUCCCCAGUGCAUUGGUAUGGUGAAGGAGGUUAGAGGAAGUAUAAUAUAUAUUAAAAAAAAAAACCUAUUGAAAAUACCAGCUAACAAAUUAACUUGUAUAGCUAAUACACUGGAUUCUUUUGAUUAAGGAGAAAUUUUCAGGAAGAAUUAAUGCCAAUGGACUGAGAUAGUUCUUGCAACUUAUUUCAGAGGCAAGAGGAAAAAGGGGUAAAUCUUUGUGUACCAGACUAAAAAACCAGGGAAGCUGGAGUGUGGAAGUCAUUAUGAGAUUAAGAGAAUAGAAAAUUGCCUUGAAUUUAUGAGCAAGAAAAUUAUUUAUUUGUCCUUUUGUGCUUAAGGAGAAAGGGAUUCUGAACGAUCUGCUUCUCAAAAUAAAAGUAAUCUCACAUUUGGAUUGCUAGCUGUUCUUCCUCCUUCCUGAAUUAAGCAAUAGUCUGAGGUGCUUAAGAAGUUUUUCAGGUGUUCUUUGAAUUUAUACAGGCUAUGGAGAAAGUAAAAUAGAUAGGUAAGAGUGGUUUAAUCUCCUCUGUUCUUUGCUCCUUUCACCUCUCUGGUGGUUUCUGAAGCUCUUACACAAGUGCAGCUCCACCCCUGUGUUGCCAGACAAUGUGUCUGUGCUGUGUGUGUGCCACACGCAGCAUGAGGUGACACUUCUGUCCAGCUGGGAUUCUCAGGGACUUCAGCUGAAAUGUGUGCCCCUGCCCCAUGGUGCAAUCCUUGAACUGACAGCUCAAUCCUUGGCCUCAGCCUUUCCUUCACAUCCUUUUUGGGGGGGAUGCUGUGUUCAGACCAGCAGGCAUGUCUUUAAUGGUGGUUGCUUCCAGUGGCUUGAAGCUCAGGGUGCAAUCCCCAGGUAACUGUGGUAGGCAGCUGCAAACUUAGUUUGCCCAUAGAAAGCAAAGAGCUAGGUCCAGAGACCUGGAGGCCAUUUAUAAAGCUAGUUAUUAAUAUUUUAUUUCCUUUAUCUCUGUCUUGUGCUUCUCUGCAGUAGUUGCAGGCCCAGAGAACAAAGCAGUGUCUUUUGUUUAGCGGUUUAAAGUGCAGAAGAAGGGGAAGGAACAUUUGGUUGAUGUUAGACAGAUGUAAACUACAAAAUUAAUUAAAAAUUAACAACAACCAGGCACAAUUAGAAUGAGAAUCAGUUGGAAGAAGUUCUUCAGGGAGAGCAACAGGGUUUGCCUUUGGCUUCAGACUCUCCUCUUGCGGCACUGGGAAGCGGAGGCGUGUUGGCCCUUUUCCUUUUCUCAGGUGCCAGAGAGCCUAAAAUAGCCAUGGCAACAUGUUCUGGAAGGGUGAUCUGUAUCAAAAUGCAGUUCCCAGCAGCAGUGUUGUUCUCCAUGUUCCAACUCUGAUAACCAGACAUGGUGGUCAAUAGAAAGAGCAGAGCAAAACUGCACCAUCUUUUUCGCAUUGCUUCUGUACACACAAAAUGGAAAAAAACCCUAUCUUUUCUAGUAAUGUGCUCAUUUUAGCUUUGGGGAGGUGUUACUAAGUGCCUGAUACACUGGAUAGACAAGAUGUGUCCAUCAGCAGCAAGCAACCAGAGGUAUUUACUCAUAAUGGUGCAGUUUCCAAAGUGACAGAGAUGGCACCGAGCAAAGUGUCAUAGCUGGAGGAAUUCUCUUCACGGUGAAAUGAACUAAUACAAAACGAGUUGAAUUUCUGUUUUCACCAAUGCAAAAUUAUUCAUUAAUUUUGGUGAUUUGAGAUUUAAUUCAUAUGAAGACCAGAGCUCACACUGUCAGGAUUCCUGGAUUUGCCUUCUUCUCAGCAUAGGAGAAAAUAAUGUGAAAUGCCUCCAGCUUCCCAGAGAUGGGACUUUCAAGGUCAGUAUCAGUAUUUUUACUGCUUCAUCAAGGGAAGCCUGAAAUGAUUCAAGAUUCCUGUCUGGUGAGUUGUUCUUAAGAGGUUUCUGGUUUUGAGUUCUUGGUACGCCGACAAUCAUGAUAUUGUGAAAAUGUUUAUUUCUGCCUGCCCUUCUCUUUCCAACAUUGUUUUCAGGAGAUACAGAUGGCAUAACAGUCUCUAAGAGAUAUUAAGACUUUCAAGCAGCCACUGUUCCUUCAUUUAUUUGCUUUUGUUAGUUUCUGCAUACUUUCAGGAGCUGAAAUUAGUAGAGAGCCUCCAGCUUUUCACAGAUGCUGCCAUAUUACUGACUUCAUCCAUCCAGCAAAUGCUGACUGUGACACUGUAAAGGGUCCACACCUAUUUUGUCAUUACAUUUAUAGAACUCUUUGUUGUUGUUGAUUUCAAAAUACCAGCAAGUCCCAGUGACAAACUGCAGUGGUAUUUUGAGAGCAGUUCCCUCUUCCUGUUUGCUGUAAGUGACAUUGAAUGACUUAGGGGAUGAGAGAAGUACAAUUGCACUUCAAGAGAAACAUUUCUGGGGUUGGGUGCAACUGCUUUGCUAGCAGAAUGAAAAACAAAGUAAAAAUUGGAAGCACACUGAGUAAAAAGACCAAGCUCUGUCCUAUUUUAGGUUUUGAUAUUUUCGUCAUUAUCUAAUGCAGAAAGGAAAAAAUCUUUGGUUGUUGAAGUAAAAUACUUGUUUUGAACAUAUUUUGGACGAUUCUGUCUAUCCUGAUAAAAUUGUAGGAAGACAUAAGUUGCUUGAACUACAAAUUUUCUGAUAUUUAUCCAAAAUAUUUGCUGUAAUCUCAAGGCUUUUGCAACAUCAUCUUUAUCAGUAAGUAUUUUUCUUA
Non-coding RNA from Cyanistes caeruleus (blue tit), 5253 nucleotides. The record is from RefSeq and is a predicted model, not a curated record. Lineage: Eukaryota; Metazoa; Chordata; Aves; Passeriformes; Paridae.